RNAcentral lists this transfer RNA (86 nucleotides) under Spirochaetae bacterium HGW-Spirochaetae-5. RNAcentral describes it as "tRNA-Leu". It matches the Rfam family "tRNA". Rfam says of the family: Transfer RNA (tRNA) molecules are approximately 80 nucleotides in length. Their secondary structure includes four short double-helical elements and three loops (D, anti-codon, and T loops). The record is from RNAcentral. Lineage: Bacteria; Pseudomonadati; Spirochaetota.
GGUCAGGUGGUGGAACUUGGUAGACACAAGGGACUUAAAAUCCCUUGAUCCUUGCGGUCGUGCGGGUUCAAUUCCCGCCCUGGGCA